GCCAGGCGUGGUGGCGAACAUCUGUAAUCCCAGCUACUUGGGAGGCUGAGGUGGGAGAAUUGCUUGAACCCAGGAGGUGGAGUUGCAGUGGGCCCAAAUUGCAGCACUGCACUCCAGCCUGGGUGACAGAGCGAGACUCCAUCUCAA
This is an unclassified non-coding RNA of Macaca mulatta (Rhesus monkey), 147 nucleotides long. It matches the Rfam family "Metazoan signal recognition particle RNA". From Rfam's summary of the family: The signal recognition particle (SRP) is a universally conserved ribonucleoprotein. It is involved in the co-translational targeting of proteins to membranes. Lineage: Eukaryota; Metazoa; Chordata; Mammalia; Primates; Cercopithecidae. The record is from Ensembl.